Molecule: ribosomal RNA, 385 nt
Filed under: Vibrio parahaemolyticus
Lineage: Bacteria; Pseudomonadati; Pseudomonadota; Gammaproteobacteria; Vibrionales; Vibrionaceae
Description: partial 23S ribosomal RNA
Rfam family: Bacterial large subunit ribosomal RNA
Source: RNAcentral
CCCAAGGGUAUGGCUGUUCGCCAUUUAAAGUGGUACGCGAGCUGGGUUUAGAACGUCGUGAGACAGUUCGGUCCCUAUCUGCCGUGGGCGUUGGAAGAUUGAAGGGGGCUGCUCCUAGUACGAGAGGACCGGAGUGGACGAACCUCUGGUGUUCGGGUUGUGUCGCCAGACGCAUUGCCCGGUAGCUAAGUUCGGAAUCGAUAACCGCUGAAAGCAUCUAAGCGGGAAGCGAGCCCUGAGAUGAGUCUUCCCUGAUACUUUAAGUAUCCUAAAGGGUUGUCGGAGACUACGACGUUGAUAGGUCAGGUGUGUAAGUGCUGUGAGGCAUUGAGCUAACUGAUACUAAUUGCCCGUGAGGCUUAACCAUACAACACCCAAGGGGUUU